Molecule: ribosomal RNA, 513 nt
Filed under: uncultured bacterium
Lineage: Bacteria
Description: partial 16S ribosomal RNA
Rfam family: Bacterial small subunit ribosomal RNA
Source: RNAcentral
GAUGAACGCUGGCGGCGUGCCUAAUACAUGCAAGUCGAGCGAACAGAUAAGGAGCUUGCUCCUUUGACGUUAGCGGCGGACGGGUGAGUAACACGUGAAUAACCUACCUAUAAGACUGGGAUAACUUCGGGAAACCGGAGCUAAUACCGGAUAACAUAUUGAACCGCAUGGUUCAAUAGUGAAAGUCGGCUUUGCUGUCACUUAGAGAUGGAUCCGCGCCGUAUUAGCUAGUUGGUAAGGUAACGGCUUACCAAGGCAACGAUAGGUAGCCGACCUGAGAGGGUGAUCGGCCAGACUGGAACUGAGACAUGGUCCAGACUACUACGGGAGGAAGCAGUAGGGAAUCUUCCGCAAUGGGCGAAAGCCUGACGGAGCAACGCCGCGUGAGUGAUGAAGGUCUUCGGAUCGUAAAACUCUGUUAUCAGGGAAGAACAAAUGUGUAAGUAACUGUGCACAUCUUGACGGUACCUGAUCAGAAAGCCACGGCUAACUACGUGCCAGCCGCCGCCGUAA